CUGUGUGUCAUCUGCUCUCCAACUGUGCAUCUCAAAGUGCACACAUUCAACGUUAAUUCUUAGUUCUUAUUGAGCCCACCAUCCCAGAGAUAAUCUGGGAUAAGAAACACGGAGCGGAGUCAUGUCAACAAAGUGUCAUCCUCAACUGAAAACAGCUCCCAAAGACUUGUGAAAAUGAAGACAGAAAUGUCUUCAUGCAUUUCAGAGGAGACAAGGAAAGAGUGAAAGUUUUUCUGCACUGAAGGACGUCCUAGAAUAAGGACAGCUGCCUGGGCUGAAGGAGUCAGCUGAACAGAAGAUCCUUUAGAAGAGGUCCUUGGAUUCCCAGAAAUAUACAGAUCAGAUGUUGAAAAUCACUGAACGGGGACACCGCACUCAAUUGGGAAAGAUGAGACAACAGUGGAUUAAAAAUACAGAAAAGAAAGUUAAGGCAUCCCAUCUUCCAGCACCCAAAGGGUGAAAGGCAGCUGCCAUUCGCCCCAACAGCAGCUGGAGAAGCCACAGCAAAAGAGUGUGUAAAGACACUGUGUGAAGAGUGUCAAAAGUGAAAGCCUCAGGGGCGAAGAGGGAAAGAAAUGACGUCACUGUAAUGGAAGCCUUUUCUACUUGUCUGUCUGUCUGUCAGCAACGACUUCUGAAUCAAUAAAUACCAGUCAGAAUGCACAAUUCCUGCUGACCUGCAGUCCCCCCUUCAUCUCUGGAGAAAAUAAACACGGGUUGUGGGUGCUGAGCAGCUCUGCCUUCUUCAGAGCUUCCAUUGUAUUUGUGUUUGUGGUGUUUCAGCCAGCAGCACCAGGCAGCGUUCAUUUGGUAGUCCCAGGAACUUGGAGGAAUUCCCCGGUUAUUAUGAGAUUAUCCCUUCACUGCAAAAUAAACGAUUCUUCACCAAUUCCAUCUCAGGGGUGUUCUCUCACAGAUGUCUGGGAGUCAGGAGGGGUCAGGACAGGAGGGACUUGACUCG
Long non-coding RNA from Gallus gallus (chicken), 961 nucleotides. Lineage: Eukaryota; Metazoa; Chordata; Aves; Galliformes; Phasianidae. The record is from Ensembl.